UCUUCCUACGGGAGGCAGCAGUGGGGAAUAUUGCACAAUGGGGGAAACCCUGAUGCGGCAACGCCGCGUGAAGGAAGACGGUUUUCGGAUUGUAAACUUCUGUUCUUAGUGAAGAAUAAUGACGGUAGCUAAGGAGCAAGCCACGGCUAACUACGUGCCAGCAGCCGCGGUAAUACGUAGGUGGCAAGCGUUGUCCGGAAUUACUGGGUGUAAAGGGAGCGCAGGCGGGAAGCCAAGUCAGCUGUGAAAACUACGGGCUUGACUUGUAGACUGCAGUUGAAACUGGUUUUCUUGUG
RNAcentral lists this ribosomal RNA (296 nucleotides) under uncultured bacterium. RNAcentral's name for it is "partial 16S ribosomal RNA". It matches the Rfam family "Bacterial small subunit ribosomal RNA", at positions 334 to 646 of the family's 1533-position model. The record is from RNAcentral.